Molecule: ribosomal RNA, 500 nt
Filed under: uncultured bacterium
Lineage: Bacteria
Description: partial 16S ribosomal RNA
Rfam family: Bacterial small subunit ribosomal RNA
Source: RNAcentral
AUUGAACGCUGGCGGCAUGCCUUACACAUGCAAGUCGAACGGCAGCACGGGAGCAAUCCUGGUGGCGAGUGGCGAACGGGUGAGUAAAGUAUCGGAACGUGCCCAGUCGUGGGGGAUAACGUAGCGAAAGUUACGCUAAUACCGCAUACGAUCUAUGGAUGAAAGCGGGGGAUCGCAAGACCUCGCGCGAUUGGAGCGGCCGAUAUCAGAUUAGGUAGUUGGUGGGGUAAAGGCUCACCAAGCCGACGAUCUGUAGCUGGUCUGAGAGGACGAACAGCCACACGGGGACUGAGACACGGGCCAGACUCCUACGGGAGGGAGGAGUGGGGAAUUUUGGACAAUGGGCGAAAGCCUGAUCCAGCCAUGCCGCGUGCAGGAUGAAGGCCUUCGGGUUGUAAACUGCUUUUGAACGGAACGAAAAGGUUUGGCCUAAUAAGCUGAGCUCAUGACGGUACCGUAAGAAUAAGCACCGGCUAACUACGUGCCAGCAGCCGCGGUAA